GCGAAAGUGGCGGAAUUGGUAGACGCACCAGAUUUAGGUUCUGGCNNUCGAGUCCCCCCUUUCGCACCA
This 69-nucleotide transfer RNA is filed under the name Pseudomonadota bacterium. Its description in RNAcentral is "Proteobacteria bacterium (activated sludge metagenome) tRNA-Leu". It matches the Rfam family "tRNA". Rfam says of the family: Transfer RNA (tRNA) molecules are approximately 80 nucleotides in length. Their secondary structure includes four short double-helical elements and three loops (D, anti-codon, and T loops). Lineage: Bacteria; Pseudomonadati; Pseudomonadota. The record is from RNAcentral.